GGACUGCGACAGUGUGGCGUUCCCAGCGCGGCAACAAAAGUAACCCCGGCGAUGACAGGCGCCCGGCGGUAACAAAAGUAACACGCGGAGGCCCCGUCAGCCCGCCCCGGGCUCCCGCAGAUUGGGGUUCAGUCGGCACCUUCUACAUGACAUGGUGGAGUGUGCAUUACAUAAAGCCCCCAGGUUACAGACAGGACCCCUGGGGCCAGGGGAGGUGGGUGCCUUGUGAUCUGCGUCAUGGUGAGGACUUCAGGGACAGAUGGCCAGGGAUGUUCCCAGGUGGUAGAGGAGGCUCCACUGGCAGAGAAGCAGCAUCAAGCUGAAGACAUUGGGGUGCGAUGGCUGGCCAGGACAGCUUGUCUCCUCGUCCGCACACGGGAACGCUGGAUUUCACUCUGUGACCCAGCCAGCGGUCUCAUCUCACAGCCGCAGCUUUCAGCAGGAAGGAGCCCACUGGUGCCUGCCUGACCUACGAGGGCCCGCACCGUUUUGCCCUCCUAACAUUUUGUAUUUGAAGUGCUUGUCACAGUCCACAAAAUAACCACUCAGAAUCUGUUACUAUUUUGUUUAUACGUUGUAUCAAGUGAAUGUUAAUAAGUCAUCUAAGUGUAUGCUUUAGUUAUAAAUCUUGGAAAAAUAAAAACUUCCUUUUGGGGGAAAAGUGAA
RNAcentral lists this non-coding RNA (666 nucleotides) under Pan troglodytes (chimpanzee). Lineage: Eukaryota; Metazoa; Chordata; Mammalia; Primates; Hominidae. The record is from RNAcentral.